CUUGCCAGGGACCAAGUUUUUGGCGCCGUUGCCGGGGACUCGUGGUUUAACUUAUCUAGUAGUGUAAACUAAUUAACUUUGACUUGACUGUAUAUAUUUUGUUUUUGUUUUUGUUUCUCUUUUUUUUUAUUUUUAUAUAAAAGUGCCACUAGAGUUUGUGUUUCUUGUGCAUGCAGCAGGAAACUAGACAUACUAGGAGCAAGAAAAAUAUGUAACCUCUUCUUGAAAGAUUAAGUGAGACAAGGG
Molecule: long non-coding RNA, 246 nt
Filed under: Vigna radiata
Lineage: Eukaryota; Viridiplantae; Streptophyta; Magnoliopsida; Fabales; Fabaceae
Description: long non-coding RNA (VRAD_LNC015567)
Source: RNAcentral